GCAGCGCUGUGGUGGAACAGGGAUUCUCUCUCUGGUCCGUGGCUCUGGACCAUCUCAGCCGUGCAAACCUGGCUCAUCCCUGCUCUCCAGGAAUCACAGGGAGCUGGACACUGACCCCCAGCCCUGGGGUGACCUGCAGGACCCCACUGUGCCCCUGUGCCCCCUCCUCAUCCUGCCACAUCCACAUUUGCAUCUCAAACGAGUCUCUGGCUCAGAGUGACUCACUUCAGGGUCGCCUGGGUAAUUUUGAGGAUUCCUGUGAUCUCCGAGCUGUCCCUGAGCAGAGGGAGAAGGAGGGGACAUCCAAGGAGCUGCUGUGAAUUUUCCACCCAGGACUAUCACCACAUAAAGAGCCGGAGACAGGGAAAGCAUUCCUGAGCCGGGAAGAGCACCUUCCACCCUGCAAAUCGCAGCUUUUAUCCCCAAAAUCCCAACCAGCAUUAACAGGCAGCUCCAAUCCCCGGAGCCUGACACCAUCUGAGCGACAGCAGAAGGAAAAACGCGACUUCAUUUCCCCGGAGGCUGAGCCGGGCUCAAAUUCAGGCUCCCAAACCUGCUUGGGUCAGCAAGAAGCACUUGAUGGGAUCGGGAAGAAAACCUGCCCGCGUGGAAAUAAGGCGAUAAGAGCAUGAAAAUGGGGGCAGGGGGGUUGAGCUGUGCUCCUCACCCCAUCACCGACCCCCCAAAACAGGACAGGCACAGCCCCUGUCUCUCCCCACCGCAGCAAUCGCAGCCGGGAGCCCUUUAAAUGGUUUCAAAUGUUAAUUCCUCAUCGUGGCAGUAAAAGCUAUUUUUAAUCCCACGUGAAAGCAGUUUGCAGAAACCCAAACUUUGCACGAAUUAUGGAUUGCUUCCCAAGAGCGGGCGGUGCUGGGUGUGUGUCGGGGAGCAGAAAACAGAGGCACAUCAGCCUGGUCCUGAGAGCAGGGCUGGCGCUAGAACAGUGCAUGAAAGCCAACCCCAAACUCUACACCUUAAGUAAAAGCUUUCAUGUAUCUUAUUCUUAGUUAAAAUCAGCUAUUUCUCAGGUUUCCCGCAUGUUUUCUUUGUACUCGAGGUUUCAUUUCCCAAACACGGGGGUGAGAAUCCGGGGAAGCUGAGACAGAAAGGUCUCACUUGUGAAUGGAACAGAAAAAAAAAAAAGAGAAAAGAUUGCAAAGUAAUAUAGGCGAGAAGCUGCGGGGCUGAGUGUCUGCGAGUGCCCCGGGAAAACAAGGGCCGCUCUGAAAUCGAGUCCGUCAGGAGGAGAGAUUAGCGGUGCCAAUGAAUAAAGAUAAAAUCCCGGAGCA
Molecule: long non-coding RNA, 1289 nt
Organism: Taeniopygia guttata (zebra finch)
Lineage: Eukaryota; Metazoa; Chordata; Aves; Passeriformes; Estrildidae
Source: RefSeq, a predicted model, not a curated record